CGAACGGGUGAGUAACGCGUGAGUAACCUGCCCUAGAGUGGGGGACAACAGUUGGAAACGACUGCUAAUACCGCAUAAGCCCACGGUACCGCAUGACACUGAGGGAAAAGGAUUUAUUCGCUUUAGGAUGGACUCGCGUCCAAUUAGCUAGUUGGUGAGGUAACGGCCCACCAAGGCGACGAUUGGUAGCCGGACUGAGAGGUUGAACGGCCACAUUGGGACUGAGACACGGCCCAG
Molecule: ribosomal RNA, 237 nt
Filed under: uncultured bacterium
Lineage: Bacteria
Description: partial 16S ribosomal RNA
Rfam family: Bacterial small subunit ribosomal RNA
Source: RNAcentral